This 498-nucleotide ribosomal RNA is filed under the name uncultured Eubacteriales bacterium. RNAcentral describes it as "bacterial SSU rRNA". It matches the Rfam family "Bacterial small subunit ribosomal RNA", at positions 1 to 507 of the family's 1533-position model. The record is from RNAcentral. Lineage: Bacteria; Bacillati; Bacillota; Clostridia; Eubacteriales.
AGUAGUUUGUAUCCUGGCUCAGGAUGAACGCUGGCGGCGUAGCUUAACACAUGCAAGUCGAGCGAAAAUAAUUGAGAGCUUUGCUUUUGUAUUAUUUUAGCGGCGGACGGGCGAGUAACGUGUGGGCAACCUACCUUUUACUGUGGAAUAAUCGUUGGAAACGACGACUAAUACCGCAUACGAUUUUCUGAAGGCAUCUUUGGGAAAAGAAAGGAAAUAUUCGGUAAAAGAUGGGCCCGCAUCUGAUUAGCUAGUUGGUGAGAUAAUAGCCCACCAAGGCAACGAUCAGUAGCCGACCUGAGAGGGUGACCGGCCACAUUGGGACUGAGACACGGCCCAAACUCCUACGGGAGGCAGCAGUGGGGAAUAUUGCACAAUGGGCGGAAGCCUGAUGCAGCAACGCCGCGUGAAGGAAGACGGUUUUCGGAUUGUAAACUUCUAUCAAUAGGGAAGAAAGAAAUGACGGUACCUAAAUAAGAAGCCCCGGCUAACUACGUG